This is a long non-coding RNA of Zingiber officinale, 2606 nucleotides long. RefSeq lists it as uncharacterized. The transcript has 6 exons. The record is from RefSeq and is a predicted model, not a curated record. Lineage: Eukaryota; Viridiplantae; Streptophyta; Magnoliopsida; Zingiberales; Zingiberaceae.
UUUAUCUUCUCAAUGCAGAUCCUUUCCUUGCCUCUCCCUCUACAUAGCAACAUGAUUUCUUCCCUCUCCAUAAGACCUCCUUCUUUCUUUCCUAUCCACGGCAGCAAGGGUUCUUCCCUCUCCAUAGCACCACCUUCUUUCUUUCCUCUCAAUAGCAGUAAGGUUUCUUCCCUCUCUACAGCAAGCAAGGAAGAGGGAAGCCCGAGAUAUCAAGUUCCUCCUCCCGAUUCUGUACUUUUAAGGUUUAGAUUCACUUCGGACUUCCUAGACCACGCGGAAGUCGCCGAUCUGACAACGGGGAAUGACGGGGAGCAAGCAGUCGGUGUCAUUUAAAUCAACAAAAUACAUUUCACGACGACGACAGCGUCGAAGACUAUUUACAGAGGCGACGAAGUCUUCGAUUGUGGCUCGCUCUACUAAACUGGGAUUCGUAGACUACUGGUGGAAGCCACUGGUUUAAAUCAAGUACCACUUGCCCACCUCUGUAAUCGCAGCGUUGCGGAUCAUGGAUCUGUAAAAAGGCUCGCUCUACUAAAUUGGUAGUUAAUUACUUUCUAGCAUUUCGAGUUUGAAAUCGUCGUCUCUAACCAAUUCGAUCCUGCAACGCCAUCAACUCGUCAACCAGGUUGGUUUCCUACCCAUGGUUUCUGGCAUCUCCUAUCCUAGGGCAUCUCCUUCCCUAUAGUUAGCAUCCCAUAUUAUCCAUAAAUUUGAGAUCGCCAUCCUCUCUUAAUUUUGAGGAGGGUGUGGAACAAUUAUUAUCCUUUUCAUUUCUUUUCUUUUGCUUGUUUCAUUCUAUUACCUUACAUGCUAAAAAUUCUUUUUUUUUGAAAAAAAAAUCUAUAUAAUUCCAUCUGCUGUAUAAACAUGUCUUCUUGGGCAGAAUCUUGAUGGACAGGUUUUCUGUUAAACAAUAAAUGGUAUCGAGGAGGUUGCUUACAACACCUUUUAUAUCUUAUCACAUCCAUCCAAUUACAUAUCAAGUUAUGGUUGACUAUACAGUAGUAUCCUUUUCUUAUGGAAUACAGAUUGUUGUUUAGUUGGCCUAUACUGUAGUUCAAAUUGGAGAGAUACAGUUUAGUAGUUUAAGUUGGAUGCCUUUCUGUGCAUUAUAUGUGAUUUCCUUACAAUUUUCUUGUCUUGGAUUUUUAUUUCAUUAUCUGUUUUAUUUUUAUUCUUUGAAAAAAAGGGGCUUAGGUCCAAAAUUUCAAUUCGGUGGGAGAAAUGAUGUACAAAGUGAAGAACUACAAACUUUAGUUUUCUUAGAAAGAUCAAAAGAAGAGAAGAUGAAUCUAUAACUUUGAGAAGUUACAGGAAAGAAAAUACUAUAGGGAAAGAUAGAUGUGGUUGUUGACUAUAGGACUUUAUCAAGUCUAUCUGCUGGAAACUUCAUUUUACAAAACCAGUUGGCUUCACACUCUCACUGGUGCAAAACUUUGGGACAUCACAAAAAGAUUGCAGCCACGUUGGCCCAAAUUUUAUUUCGAAUUUGGGCACUAAUCUAGUGAUAAAAAAAACCUUUAUCAAAUCUGAUCAUGCACACAACCCAUUUUAAACUUGGGCAGUUGUUGCAUUCUUCAAAUAAUGAUGAAUGGAUUUCAACAAUUUGCUAAAUGGGUUCUUGGAACUCUUCUCUUAUCAAGUAGUUUCUUGUUGGUGCAUUGGAACUCUUCUCUUAUCAAGUAGUUUCUUAUCAAAUAAUUAAUAUCUAGGACUACAUUGGAUAUAUAAUACUCCCUCUGCUGGAGCAUAGAUAACAAUCAAUGUGAUUCACUUAUUAUUUCUAGCAUCCAUGACUACCCACUGAGGAUUUUAUUUAGAAAUUCAUGUUCAAGUUUAUAAGCUAACUUGUUUUAAAGGAUUUCAUCUUAUUGAUUUUCGGUCAGGAAUGAUCUAAUGUGAUGUUGAACUGCAAUUGCUAGAAAAUAACAUAAGUAUAGUGCUGAGUUUUUCCCCUUUAUAGCAACGAAACAACAAUUCUAAUUUGGUCAAGACUUACAUUUUGCAUAUUUUAGAUAAUUAAUUUACUACUCAAUGUUGCAAGUAAUGAAUUUACUAUGUUGAAUAACUGGUUCUAACAUCUCUUCAAUUAUACUGUUGGAUAACUUCAGGCAUAUUCUACUGUUGGUACACCAGACUAUAUUGCUCCAGAGGUUCUACUUAAGAAGGGUUAUGGAAUGGAGUGUGAUUGUGGGGUCAAAUUAUACAAUGCAUCAAGGGGUAUUUCAAAAGGACCUGAUUUUAAACAAUUGACGGGUAAUCUAAAAUAAAAAGGUGGUGUUGAAUGUGGAUAUUGUGAAAUGUGGUACAUGAAAGAGAUAGUUUUGGAUGAAUAUCCCCAAUUGGAGAUGAAGUUUGCAACAUCAAAAAACAAACAAUAUUACAAUCAAUCUCAGUAUGAUGAAGUCAGAAGUGCAUGGAGCAAAUUCGUUUACUUCUAUAUAGGUGCUUAAGUGUAGGUUGUGAUAUAAAUUUUGGAUUGUAUUUAAAGAUUUAUAUAUACAAAAACUUUUGGGUUACAGUUAAACAUGUCUUUUAUAAAUACACUUUUGGAUUGUAUUUGAUACAUAUUUAUGAUAUAUUUAUUCAAUUUUGAUUGUGAAAAA